AACAGGAUUAGAUAUCCUGGUAGUCCACGCCGUAAGCGAUGGAAGCUAGCCGUCGGGUGAUUUAUCACUCGGUGGCGCAGCAAACGCAUUAAGCUUCCCGCCUGGGGAGUACGGUCGCAAGAUUACAACUCAAAGGAAUUGACGGGGGCCCGCACAAGCGGUGGAGCAUGUGGUUUUAUUCGAAGCAACGCGCAGAACCUUACCAGCUCUUGACAUGCCAGGACGAUGACCGGAGACGGACAUCUUCCUUCGGGACGUGGACACAGGUGCUGCAUGGCUGUCGUCAGCUCGUGUCGUGAGAUGUUGGGUUAAGUCCCGCAACGAGCGCAACCCUCGCCCUUAGUUGCCAGCAUUGAGUUGGGCACUCUAAGGGGACUGCCGGUGAUAAGCCGAGAGGAAGGUGGGGAUGACGUCAAGUCCUCAUGGCCCUUACGGGCUGGGCUACACACGUGCUACAAUGGCGGUGACAAUGGGCAGCCAACUCGCGAGAGUGCGCUAAUCCCAAAGCCGUCUCAGUUCGGAUUGCACUCUGCAACUCGGGUGCAUGAAGUUGGAAUCGCUAGUAAUCGUGGAUCAGCAUGCCACGGUGAAUACGUUCCCGGGCCUUGUACACACCGCCCGUCACACCAUGGGAGUUGGUUCUACCCGAAAGUGGUGCGCUAACCGCAAGGAGCAGCCAACCACGGUAGGGUCAGCGACUGGGGUGAAGUCGUAACAAGGUAACCGUA
This 728-nucleotide ribosomal RNA is filed under the name Aureimonas sp. FyFern_11. RNAcentral's name for it is "bacterial SSU rRNA". It matches the Rfam family "Bacterial small subunit ribosomal RNA", at positions 771 to 1504 of the family's 1533-position model. The record is from RNAcentral. Lineage: Bacteria; Pseudomonadati; Pseudomonadota; Alphaproteobacteria; Hyphomicrobiales; Aurantimonadaceae.